CUUUUCGGGGUCGAGUCCGAGGGGGAAGAGGUUUGUUAAUACGUUCGCCAUGUGCUACGAUCUUGGGACGAACUGAGCCACGAGCGUGGCUUUGAGGGCCGUCCGAACGCUGCAGGCCGGCCAGGUCCCUGGGCGUCCAGGCCUGGCCUACGCACCACUUUGUCCCUUAGCGUUUAAAGGUUUCUUCCCGAAUCUCAGGCCCUCAGCUACCUGCAGGUUUCGUCGCGAGCCGGCUGCAAGUUUUGAACCUAAGUAAACCUCAAUCCGGAGGGCCUAGCGGUAAGGUGGGCGCUGUGUCUAUUGAAGUGCUUAGCAAUAAAGAAAGGUAGUGAGUUGAUUCGGUUUUCUCUCAAGUGUCUUUAUUUUCCUAUUCUGGCACCCCAGAGGUCUGGCUGAUCCACAGGCAAUCUUGGAAAAGGGUACAGACAUGAAAACGGAAGCUCGUUACCAGUGACUUUUCAUCUCUUGGGAUUGCCUUCUCCAUUUCUGCCCGUGAUUUUUUUUUUUUUUUUUUGAGACGGAGUUUUGCUCGUUUCCCAGGCGGGAGUGCGAUGGCACAACCUCCACCUCAAGCGAUUUUCCUGCCUGAGCCUCCCAAAUGGCUGGAAUUACAGGCGCCCACCACCACGCCCGGCUAAUUUUGUAUUUUUAGUAGAGACGGGGUUUCUCCGUGUUAGGCUGGUCUCAAACUCCUGACCUCAGGUGAUCUGCCCACCUCAGCCUCCCAAAGUGCUGGGAUCACAGGUGUGAGCCACCACGCCCAGUCAAAUACUGUUUUUCAUGCCUUUUGCCCCAGGGUGAGUCCAAAAAGGCUUUUGAGAUUUGUGGAGGGAAGUUGACACCACCUAGGGUUCCCAUGUGCCUCCUUAGGGAGGCAGCCAUGGGCCAUGGAGGAAUGGUAGCCACACACCUGCUGAGGGUUCUGGGCCUUGCUGAGUCUCUCAAACUCCAGCAUCCUGCUCUAGAAGUGGAUUUUUUUCAACAGAUGAGACAGACGCUCCAGAAAACACAACUUUAUUCACUAGGACUGAAAACAAAGGCUUGUGCAAUCAAAAGGCCGGGCUGGCAGUUGUUGUUUCUGGUGUUUUCUGUGAUUUCCCACAUUUUAUCACAAGGCCACAGGCAUCCUCCAAGGUCAGUGAGGAAGACCCUAUUGCUGUUUGAGCCAGAGCCUCCUAGAGGGUGGGCCGGGAGCAGGCAGCUCCCAGGACACACAGAUGCACGAUGUGAUUAGCAGUGAAGCCUUCUGUCCCAGGCGUGGGCAGGCGUCCUCCCUUAGCUGCCUGAGCAUGUGCGGCUGAAGACAUGGCUUUUCUAGGGUUAGGCACUGUGCGUGGUGCCAGCCCCAGCCCUCCCUCACCUGGACGUGCCCAGGAGGGGGCAGCAGAGCACCGUGGCAAAGUCUGUCCACUUGCCGCUCCCCGUCCCGUGCAGAAGACUGCUUUUCCGUGGCGGCCAGUGUGCGGCCACGGGCUCUCAGAAGCCUGCUUGUUGGGACUGUUGCUGGGAGGAGGAAGGGACAAGGCUUGACCUGGGGCUCCUGAAAACAGACACUCGGGCGUUGGCCACUGGGCAACAAAGUCAGAAGGGCCUGGAGACCCUCUGUCCAGCCUUCUAGGGACUGGACGGCUUCCUCCAGAGGACUGAGCUCAGCCAGGUUCAAGGGCGGCAGCAGGAGGCCCCUCGACCCUCCCUCUUAACGUAAUCAUGCAGCCGGAAGCGCGGCUCGCUGGGAGCCUUCAUGGAGCGCUGCUUCAACUCCCUGCGGAGUGGGGGUGACAAGGGGACACGAUGGCCUGGACUCUAAUGAGGAUUCAGGCCCUGGGCUGGGGGAGUCCUGGUGACUGGCAGGACUUACUUUGCUAUGGCUGUGAAGGCCAAGUCCACGUUGAGGCCCGUCUUGGCGCUGGUCUCCAUGAAGGGCAGUCCAUACUCCUGUAAACAGCUGCUGCCAGCCAGGUGGUGGCCUGGCGGGGACAGCCUAGGCUCGCAGCCUCCAGGGGCACCCCCUCACCACCCCCCUGCCCUGACUCACCUUGGCCAGCUUCUCCCCGUCCUCCCUCUUCACCACACGCUCAUGGGCAGAGUCCACCUGGCCCAGGCACAGGGUCUUGGUGAAAGCUGGCCCAUGGUUGGCCCCUGCCCCCUCACCUGCCCUGCCCUGUGGCCCAGGUGAGGACAGCCGGGCCUCCCACCUUGUUCCCCAGCAGCAUGAGCGCCACGUCGUGCUGGGCGUACUCGUGGAUCUCGGUCAGCCAGGCCUGUGGGAGGCAGCAGACCAGGCUGGGGCUCCCUGCAUGGCUUGCCCCAUGCCCCAGAACUUUGGCCCUCCAGGUCACACUGUAGAGGGCACCUGUCUUUAUCUUUUUUUUUUUUUUUUUUUUUUUGAGACAAGAGUCUCGCCCUGUUUCCCAGGCUGGAGUGCAAUGGCUCCAUCUCGACUCACUGCAGUCUCCAUCUCCUGGGUUCAAGCUAUUCUCCUGGGGUUCAGAGAACCUUGGGAGGGUUCAGCCUCCCAAGUGACUGGGAUUACAGUUACGCACCACCACGCCCAGCUAAUUUUUUGUAUCUUUAGUAGAGACGGGGUUUCACCAUGUUGAUCAGGCUGGUCUCCAACUCCUGACCUCGUGAUCCGCCCACCUCAGCCUCCCAAGGUGGUGGGAUUACAGGUGUGAGCCACCAUGCCCAGCCCAUUUUAUUUUUUUGAGACAGUUUUGCUCUGUUGUCCAGGCUGGAGUGCCGUAGCACAGUCUUGGCUCACUGCAACCUCAGUCUCCUGAGUAGCUGGGAUUACAG
This 2796-nucleotide long non-coding RNA is filed under the name Homo sapiens (human). Its description in RNAcentral is "non-protein coding SNHG19:5". The record is from RNAcentral. Lineage: Eukaryota; Metazoa; Chordata; Mammalia; Primates; Hominidae.